UUAAGAAUCUUGCGCAAUGGGAGCAAUCCUGACGCAGCGACGCCGCGUGAAUGAUGAAGGCCUUCGGGUUGUAACGUUCGAUAAGCAGGGAAGAAUAAGUCCGGGGUAAUAUUCCGGAUGAUGACGGUACCUGCCUAAAGCCCCGGCUAACUACGUGCCAGCAGCCGCGGUAAUACGUAUGGGGCGAGCGUUGUUCGGAAUUAUUGGGCGUAAAGCGCGCCUAGGCGGGGGACUAAGUUAGUUGUGAAAGCUAUGGGCUCAACCCAUAAAUGGCAGCUAAGACUGG
Molecule: ribosomal RNA, 286 nt
Filed under: uncultured prokaryote
Description: partial 16S ribosomal RNA
Rfam family: Bacterial small subunit ribosomal RNA
Source: RNAcentral